This 560-nucleotide ribosomal RNA is filed under the name uncultured bacterium. RNAcentral's name for it is "bacterial SSU rRNA". It matches the Rfam family "Bacterial small subunit ribosomal RNA", at positions 337 to 916 of the family's 1533-position model. The record is from RNAcentral.
UCCUACGGGAGGCAGCAGUAAGGAAUAUUGCACAAUGGAGGAAACUCUGAUGCAGCGAUGCCGCGUGAGUGAAGAAGGCCCUUGGGUUGUAAAACUCUUUCGUCGAGGAAGAAAAUGACUGUACUCGAAUAAGAAGGUCCGGCUAACUUCGUGCCAGCAGCCGCGGUAAUACGAAGGGACCUAGCGUAGUUCGGAAUUACUGGGCUUAAAGAGCUCGUAGGUGGUUAAAAAAGUUGAUGGUGAAAUCCCAAGGCCCAACCUUGGAACUGCCAUCAAAACUUUUUAGCUGGAGUAUGAUAGAGGAAAGUGGAAUUUCUAGUGUAGAGGUGAAAUUCGUAGAUAUUAGAAAGAACAUCAAAAGCGAAGGCAACUUUCUGGAUCAUUACUGACACUGAGGAGCGAAAGCAUGGGUAGCGAAGAGGAUUAGAUACCCUCGUAGUCCAUGCCGUAAACGAUGUGUGCUAGACGUUGGAAAUUUAUUUUUCAGUGUCGCAGCGAAAGCAUUAAGCACACCGCCUGGGGAGUACGACCGCAAGGUUAAAACUCAAAUGAAUUGACGG